This 442-nucleotide ribosomal RNA is filed under the name uncultured bacterium. Its description in RNAcentral is "partial 16S ribosomal RNA". It matches the Rfam family "Bacterial small subunit ribosomal RNA", at positions 338 to 795 of the family's 1533-position model. The record is from RNAcentral.
CCUACGGGAGGCAGCAGAGGGGAAUAUUGGGCAAUGGGCGCAAGCCUGACCCAGCGACGCCGCGUGAGGGAAGACGGACUUAGGAUUGUAAACCUCUUUCAGCAGGGAAGACAAAAGGACGGUACCUGCAGAAGAAGCCACGGCUAACAACGGGCCAGCAGCCGCGGAAAUACGUAGGUGGCAAGUGAUACCCGGAAUUACGGGGUGCAAAGGGCGUGUAGGCGGGUUUGCAAGUCAGAUGUGAAAAUUAUGGGCUCAACCCAUAACCUGCGUUUCAAACUACAGAACUGUAGCGUGGAAGAGGUACCCGGAAUCCCCGGUGUAGCGGUGAAAUGCAUAGAUAUCAGGAGGAACACCAAUGGCGAAGGCCGUUUACUGAACCACAACUGACGCUGAGCCACGAAAGCGUGGGGAGCAAACAGGAUUAGUUACCCUUGUAGUC